UGUAGUUGUAGGCUUGUGUAGCAAACACUUUAAUUAUACAAGUUGGCCAUCUCAAAAACCCUGCAAUUUCACAUAUUCGAAAUCAACAAAGACGAACCCUACUCUCUCUCUCUGCCAUAACCAUGCGAAUCCACCACCACCUCCGUCGUCUCCUCCUUCUCCACCGCACUUUCUCUACACUUCCUCCACCAUCUCUCACAAAACCCCAUUUCUCAGACCCCUCUAAAACCCUCUACAAUCCCCCUUUUUUCUCUUCCCCAUCUUUUCUUCGAUCGUUUUCUUCGCAAACCCAACAACAAAACGAACAAAUUGCUCUCUCUCUUUCCUCUGAACUCCUCAAACCACUCUCUGAACACCCUGAUGACAAUCCCAUUUCCGUCCAUCAACGCCUUGACCUUUCUUUCUCUCACAUCACUCUUUCCCCUUCACUGAUUCUUCACACUCUCAACAUUUCUCCUGAUGCAGGACGUUCUGCUUUCGAUUUCUUCAAUUGGGUAUCUUCCAAAUCUCCCGAAUUUCAGCUUAAUGAUGAGGUACUUUCGUUUUUUGUUGAUUUUUUCGGUCGUAGGAAGGAUUUUAAGAUCAUUCAUGAUGUUCUUGUUGCUGGAAAAGGUGUUAUUGGGUUUAAAACUAUCUCUGCAUUCAUUGAUCGCCUUAUUCGUGCUGGCCGCACCACGCAGGCGGUGCAACUUUUUGAUAGGAUGGAGAGUGAUUAUGGGAUUGUAAGGAAUAGGGAGAUAUUGAAUUGUAUUGUUAGUAAGCUUUGUGAACAUGGUUAUGCUAAUUAUGCCGAGAAAAUGGUUAAGAAUCUUGCUAAUGAAUUUUUCCCUGAUGAGUAUGUAUGUGAUAUGUUGAUUAAGGGGUGGUGUGUUGAUGAGAAGCUUGACGAGGCAAGGAGGUUAGCUAGGGAGAUGUAUCGAGGUGGUUUCGAGAUUAGUACUGUUGCUUAUAAUGCUAUUCUUGAUUGUGUUUGUAAGCUUUGUAGGAAGAAGGAUGUUUCCAGGCUUCAAUUUGAGGCUGAGAGAAUUUUGGUUGAUAUGGAUGCGGCUGGUGUGCCGCGUAAUAGUGAGACUUUUAAUGUGCUGAUAUCGAAUUUGUGUAAGAUUCGUAAGGUGGAGGAUUCUAUGAAGUUGUUUUAUAGGAUGGGUGAAUGGGGAUGUUCUCCCGAUGCAAGGACGUUUCUUGUCCUAACGAGGGGUUUGUAUCAGGCUGCGAGGGCUGGGGAGGGAGACGAGAUGAUUGAUAGAAUGAGAUCCGCUGGGUUUGGUGAUGCACUUGAUAAGAAGGCUUACUAUGGUUUUUUGAAGAUCCUUUGUGGGAUUGAGAGGAUUGAUCAUGCUUUGAGUGUCUUUGCUAAAAUGAAGGCAGAUGGCUGUAAGCCAGGGAUUAAAACUUAUGAUUUGUUGAUGAGGAAGUUGUAUGCUCAUGGUCGCGUUGAGAAAGCAAAUGUUCUUUUCAAUGAAGCUGUUCGAAAUGGAGUACCGGUUGAGCGCAAGGAUUACAAGUUGGAUCCUAGAUUAGUGAAGCAGCCAAAGGUUGUUAAGAAAGGGAAAAAGAGGCUCACAUUGCCUGAAAAGACAGCCUUAAAAAGGAAAAGGCUCAGAAAGAUCAAUUUGAGUUUUGUAAAAAAGCCAAAAAAAAUGAUGCAGAGGAUGUAUUGAUUGAGUUCUCAUGCAAUGGCUCUGUUCCUGAACUACAUCUGGAGUUCUUGCUAUGGUACCACCAUAUAUCUAGGCCAUAAUUUUUUCCCAGUUGAAAGCAUGAUGUUUCAUUUCAUCUCUAAGAUAUUUCACGUUCGUUGUAUUCGUUGGCUUUUGUCUUCCAGCAUUAUAUUCUUUGAUGGAGUAGUCACUUAAGAGACAGCUUAAUAAGGAUUCUGUAAACUUGCUGAUGUUUUCAUUUAUUUCUUCGUCAAUGACUACACUACUGACCCAUACAGCAAGUAGGAGAGGUGAUCAGUCGUCAAUGCCAUCGACAUUUCUUUGAAAAGGUAUCCGAUCAAUGUUAAAGAUUGAUAAAGCAUGUUUAGUUUUCUUAGAGCAUCUUUGUUUAGAUGAUAUGAAUUAAUUCCUCGUUUUUAUGAGGUAAAAAUUUUGCUGGGUUAGUUACGAUGUGUCAAAUGCUUUUACAUAAUGAAAAAUGUUUAGGCUCUCAUGAAAUAAAAUGGAUUGUUUUGUUUGAUG
This is an RNA transcript of Amaranthus tricolor (Joseph's coat), 2183 nucleotides long. It is a transcript of the gene named pentatricopeptide repeat-containing protein PNM1, mitochondrial, with no coding region annotated. Lineage: Eukaryota; Viridiplantae; Streptophyta; Magnoliopsida; Caryophyllales; Amaranthaceae. The transcript has 3 exons. The record is from RefSeq and is a predicted model, not a curated record.